RNAcentral lists this long non-coding RNA (637 nucleotides) under Medicago truncatula (barrel medic). RNAcentral describes it as "lncRNA gene32775". The record is from RNAcentral. Lineage: Eukaryota; Viridiplantae; Streptophyta; Magnoliopsida; Fabales; Fabaceae.
GACAAAUACAAAGUUUGAGAAUUAUGAUUAUCUCGAGAGAGUUACAUUAAUUAUGUGUGAUGUAAUAACAUCAAUCUUAUAAAUACUAAUAAUAUUAUUUCAUGGUAAGACUAUAAGGUCAUUCAUUAUUUUAUAUUUCUUACAAUAUUAAGUAUUGUGUUAGCAUGUAUAUGCGUCUAAUUUUUCAUGGAGGUUUUCCCCACGCUUGACUUGUUUCCUCAAUUGUCUUUCUCUUUUCCACCACCUCCCAUCUUUCUACCAAUGAGAAAACCUAUGUUGUUUCCAUCACUUUCCCCCUUUCCUUUCCUUUUUGCAUUUUUGAGAAAUUUUACAAAAUUUCCACUACGACCGCCACCAUCGGGAUAGGUUUUAUCGUUUCCACCGGUGCAAGCGUCACUGCUUUUGACUCCAUCCUUCCAACGCACCCACCAUCCAUAGCAAUUUAGCUCUUCGUCUUCUAUUUCAGCCACUGAAAAAUAACCAAAACUUUUUAUUAAAUAUUUAGAAAAGGAAAAAAAAUGGUGUAUACAUGGCUACUAUUUAUAUAAAAUGGUGUAUACAUGGCUCCUCUUCUUCAUAAGACUCAUUUGCCACAACAGAGAUAAGAAUAAAGGCAGAAAAGCACAAUAAAAUAAUC